GACGAACGCUGGCGGCGCGCCUAACACAUGCAAGUCGAGCGAUGAAAUUUUAACCGAUCUCUUCGGAGAGAAGAUAAAAUGGAUUAGCGGCGGACGGGUGAGUAACACGUGAGAAACCUGCCUUUCACAAGGGGAUAGCCUCGGGAAACCGGGAUUAAUACCCUAUGACACAUUUCCUUCGCAUGGAAGAAAUGUUAAAACUCCGGUGGUGAAAGAUGGUCUCGCGCCUGAUUAGCUAGUUGGUGGGGUAACGGCCCACCAAGGCCAUGAUCAGUAACCGGCCUGAGAGGGUGAACGGUCACAUUGGAACUGAGACGCGGUCCAAACUCCUACGGGAGGCAGCAGUGGGGAAUAUUGCACAAUGGAGGAAACUCUGAUGCAGCGACGCCGCGUGAGCGAUGAAGGCUUUCGAGUCGUAAAGCUCUGUCCUAUGGGAAGAUAAUGACGGUACCAUAGGAGGAAGCCCCGGCUAACUACGUG
RNAcentral lists this ribosomal RNA (480 nucleotides) under uncultured bacterium. RNAcentral's name for it is "partial 16S ribosomal RNA". It matches the Rfam family "Bacterial small subunit ribosomal RNA", at positions 28 to 507 of the family's 1533-position model. The record is from RNAcentral.